RNAcentral lists this ribosomal RNA (427 nucleotides) under uncultured bacterium. RNAcentral describes it as "partial 16S ribosomal RNA". It matches the Rfam family "Bacterial small subunit ribosomal RNA", at positions 355 to 774 of the family's 1533-position model. The record is from RNAcentral.
UGGGGAAUAUUGCACAAUGGGCGCAAGCCUGAUGCAGCCAUGCCGCGUGUAUGAAGAAGGCCUUCGGGUUGUAAAGUACUUUCAGCGAGGAGGAAGGCAUUGUGGUUAAUAACCGCAGUGAUUGACGUUACUAGCAGAAGAAGCACCGGCUAACUCCGUGCCAGCAGCCGCGGUAAUACGGAGGGUGCAAGCGUUAAUCGGAAUUACUGGGCGUAAAGCGCACGCAGGCGGUCUGUCAAGUCGGAUGUGAAAUCCCCGGGCUCAACCUGGGAACUGCAUCCGAAACUGGCAGGCUAGAGUCUUGUAGAGGGGGGUAGAAUUCCAGGUGUAGCGGUGAAAUGCGUAGAGAUCUGGAGGAAUACCGGUGGCGAAGGCGGCCCCCUGGACAAAGACUGACGCUCAGGUGCGAAAGCGUGGGGGGCAAACA